UGUCCAGCAGCAACUCGCAAUAAAGCUCUCCUAAUCCGGGAGUCAUUAUUUUCAUAAACCCCCAUUUGAGCCCUCAUUAGCUCCCCAACAGUCAAUGGCCUCUUCCCCUUCCCCGGGGACGGACUACCCCCCAGAACCCGGACUCAAACCCGAACUGGAGCUAGAUCGAAGCCCUAACGCCUUUUUCAUUUUCGAAGCGGCAGUAGAAGUGAUGGAUCGGUGCUGCACCGAUGGCGAGCUCGAUAGCGAUGACGGCAACGGAGAUGGAGACUCACGGUCGACGCUGUUUCUGGGAAUGUAUGUGAGGGGCUGGCCGGAGGAUGUACGGCAGGCGGCGACGAAGAUCUCGUAGGCGGUGUCACGGAGGUCGGCGGCGGAUAGAGUAUGUGUUAUGUCUCUGAAUAAUGACGGAGGAUGUACGGCAGGCGGCGACGAAGAUCUCGUAGGCGGUGUCACGGAGGUCGGCGGCGGAUAGAGUAUGUGUUAUGUCUCUGAAUAAUGUGAUAUGUUUAGAUUUUUAAAUGUAUCAAAUGCUAUAGUUGUAAAUGUUCUAAAUAUUAAUAAAUAAUCGAACAUAUCUUAAAUAUUGAUAAAAUAAA
This 599-nucleotide long non-coding RNA is filed under the name Panax ginseng (ginseng). Its description in RNAcentral is "long non-coding RNA (PGIN_LNC000835)". The record is from RNAcentral. Lineage: Eukaryota; Viridiplantae; Streptophyta; Magnoliopsida; Apiales; Araliaceae.